Oryza sativa Japonica Group (Japanese rice) is the source of this 150-nucleotide microRNA precursor. It matches the Rfam family "MIR812 microRNA precursor family". The record is from Rfam. Lineage: Eukaryota; Viridiplantae; Streptophyta; Magnoliopsida; Poales; Poaceae.
UUUAAAUGCACUUGUGGGUUUCCGUGUUCAGAUCGUCCGUUUUAUUUAAAUUUUUUAUUAGUAGUAUUUUUAUUGUUAUUAGAUGAAAAAACAUGAAUAAUAAUUAAUGCAUGAUAAUGUUGGACACGGAAAACUACACUUGCACUUAAA